GAUUGGGUUUAAUGUUGGUGUUGUAAUUAAACGAACAUCACCACCACCAGGCGCCCAUGUGUCAUAUACACCGCCUAAGUACAUUGCUUUUACAACUAAUAAAAAUGAACCAAGACCUAAAAGGCAUAGGUGAAUUCCUAAGAUAGUUGUCAUUUUAUUUUUAUCACGCCA
Molecule: antisense RNA, 171 nt
Filed under: marine metagenome
Description: Antisense RNA which regulates isiA expression
Rfam family: Antisense RNA which regulates isiA expression
Source: Rfam by way of RNAcentral